UACGAAGGGUGCAAGCGUUACUCGGAAUUACUGGGCGUAAAGCGUGCGUAGGCGGUUUGUUAAGUCUGUCGUGAAAGCCCUGGGCUCAACCUGGGAAUUGCGAUGGAUACUGGCAAGCUAGAGUACGGUAGAGGAUGGUGGAAUUCCCGGUGUAGCGGUGAAAUGCGUAGAGAUCGGGAGGAACACCAGUGGCGAAGGCGGUGGCCUGGACCUGUGCUGACGCUGAGGCGCGAAAGCGUGGGGAGCGAUCCGG
This 253-nucleotide ribosomal RNA is filed under the name uncultured bacterium. Its description in RNAcentral is "partial 16S ribosomal RNA". It matches the Rfam family "Bacterial small subunit ribosomal RNA", at positions 524 to 776 of the family's 1533-position model. The record is from RNAcentral.